RNAcentral lists this ribosomal RNA (454 nucleotides) under uncultured bacterium. RNAcentral describes it as "partial 16S ribosomal RNA". It matches the Rfam family "Bacterial small subunit ribosomal RNA", at positions 28 to 507 of the family's 1533-position model. The record is from RNAcentral.
GAUGAACGCUGACAGAAUGCUUAACACAUGCAAGUCAACUUGAACUUCGGUUUGGGUGGCGGACGGGUGAGUAACGCGUAAAGAACUUGCCUCACAGAUAGGGACAACAUUUGGAAACGAAUGCUAAUACCUGAUAUUAUGAUUAUAUGGCAUCGUAUAAUUAUGAAAGCUAUAUGCGCUGUGAGAGAGCUUUGCGUCCCAUUAGCUAGUUGGAGAGGUAACGGCUCACCAAGGCGAUGAUGGGUAGCCGGCCUGAGAGGGUGAUCGGCCACAAGGGGACUGAGACACGGCCCUUACUCAUACGGGAGGCAACAGUGGGGAAUAUUGGACAAUGGACCAAGAGUCUGAUCCAGCAAUUCUGUGUGCACGAUGAAGUUUUUCGGAAUGUAAAGUGCUUUCAGUUGGGAAGAAAAAAAUGACGGUACCAACAGAAGAAGUGACGGCUAAAUACGUG